CAGCGCCGAAUCCGCCGCGGCCUACAGCCCGGCCGGAACUGUGGCGUGCGGGACGUGGCCAGUCGAUCGGGAGCGUACCCGAGUCCCCCCGAGCGGGGCCCAUCCCAUAGCGGGUGCCAGGCCUCUGCAGGUACGCAUCCGACCGGCCGCUACCGUCCCCGGAGUCGGGUCGCUUGGGAAUGCAGCCCGAAGCGGGUGGUAAACUCCACCUAAGGCUAAAUACCGGCGCGAGUCCGAUAGCGGACAAGUACCGCGAGGGAAAGUUGAAAAGAA
Molecule: ribosomal RNA, 273 nt
Filed under: Dendronotus shpataki
Lineage: Eukaryota; Metazoa; Mollusca; Gastropoda; Nudibranchia; Dendronotidae
Description: partial large subunit ribosomal RNA
Rfam family: Eukaryotic large subunit ribosomal RNA
Source: RNAcentral